GACGAACGCUGGCGGCGUGCCUAAUACAUGCAAGUAGAACGCACAGUUUAUACCGUAGCUUGCUACACCAUAGACUGUGAGUUGCGAACGGGUGAGUAAUGCGUAGGUAACCUGCCUGGUAGCGGGGGCUGAGGAAUGACAACGAGAGCUAAUACCGAAUAAUAUUGAAUAUUGCAGGAUCACAUGAUGAAAGGUGAUAAUCCACCACUACAAGAUGGGCAUGCGUUUUGUUAGCUAGUGGGGGAGAUAACGGGUCACCCCGGCGACGAUACAUAUCCGACCUGCAAGGGUGAUCGGCAUCACUGAGACUGGAGCACGGCCCGGAAUCCUGCGAGAGGCAGCAGUAGCGAACUCUCGGCGAUGGACGAAAGUGUGAACGAGCCACGCCGCGUGAGUGAAGAAGGUUGUCGGACCGUAAAGCUCAGUUGUAAGAGAAGAAUGGAUGGGAGAGUGGAAAGUUCACAUUGUGACGGUACCUGACCAGAAAGGGACGGCUAACUACGUG
RNAcentral lists this ribosomal RNA (505 nucleotides) under uncultured bacterium. RNAcentral describes it as "partial 16S ribosomal RNA". It matches the Rfam family "Bacterial small subunit ribosomal RNA", at positions 28 to 507 of the family's 1533-position model. The record is from RNAcentral.